Meriones unguiculatus (Mongolian gerbil) is the source of this 13785-nucleotide long non-coding RNA. RefSeq lists it as uncharacterized. Lineage: Eukaryota; Metazoa; Chordata; Mammalia; Rodentia; Muridae. The record is from RefSeq and is a predicted model, not a curated record. The transcript is spliced from 3 exons.
ACGCUGUUAGCAUUAAAGAAAACCAACCUGGGAGGGACGCACUCCGGCCUCCACCCAGCUCGGCCUCUCUCCCCUGCCCCUUCUCCCAGCUGCUCAGAGACCCUCGCCUCUCCUGGCUCCUCUGUUCUGCCAGCUCCUCUUCCUCUCUUCCAUCCCUCUCCCCCUCUGCUUCCAGGACUCUGCUGGUCUCCAGGGGAACACUUUGACCUCUGCUCAGCUGCUCUGGAUCAAGCCCCCCUCCAGCCCCCACUACCCCCACCAUGUGGGCUGCUGAUCAAGAGGGUCCACCUAGCGAGGUGGUGAGGGGCACAUGGCCACACAGGGAGGCUGCCACCCCUAAGCUCCAUCUGCCUCAGGUAAGAAACCCCAGGCUUACCCAGCCAGAUGCUUAAGGCCCUGGCAUACCAGGAAAUCCCCUAACACCCCAACAUCAGCCUGGCCUCCUCAGAGGCUUUGUGACCCCCAAACCUGGGCUCUGACCCCCUAGCAAAGAAGGUAGAAUUUGUGGGAAUACAAAUGACCACCCUGGCUAAAGAUUUCUACCCAGCCGCUGGUUCUCCAAGCAUUUUGUUGGGGCCUUGCUUCCUUUGUCCUCUGUCUCAAAGUGACCUCCGGCCUGUCCCCACUGCCUAAGGAUAUGGGAUAUGUGGGAGGAGAGGAAAUGCACGGGUAGGUUCAGCAAGCACCCCUCGAGCUCGCGCCCCUCUUGACCACCAGCCUGAAGGCCACAGCUCCCAAGGACUCUCCACGGGACGCAGAGCUUGCCAGGAGCAUAGAACGGGCCGCUCUGAGUUCUUUCCUGGGUGCCGGGGACAGGGUAGGGUCCUUACUGCAGAAGUGUCUCCACCACGGCUUUCUGGUGGGCGGCCUCCUCCGGGCUGAGGUUUUCCAGCUCUUUCAGAAUGGGUGGCGCGAAGUCGUCCCCAUCGUCAUCUGUGUCCUCUUCGGAGCCACGCGUGUCCCCCAGGCCAUUGGGCAGCUCGGCCAGGUCCCCUCGACUCCCACCGCAGGGCUCCCCCUUGUCCAGGGGACCACCUCCAACCAUCAGGUAGGGCCCCGGCUCCCCCAAGGCCUGGAUCAGAGCCUCCUUGCUCAGGCCAGACUCGAGGAGGGCAGCCAGGAGCUCCGUCUGCAGCUGGCUCAGCUUAGAGACCAUGGCUCCGCCGCCACCGGGCCACGAGGCCCAAGGCCACUGAGCUAGCCGCCUCCCCCACCCACGGCCGGUGUCUACUUGCCGGCAGGCUGGCAGUCAACGCACCAGGCUCGCUGCACCCACCGCCCCCCCAAAUCCCACUAGUCAAGCCCUGUGGGCACCCCCAGCCCCCAACCCUGGCCCCAGCGGCCAGUGAAUCAGGGCCCCUGCCUGCUCUGUUUACAUUGGAGCCGGGGAAAUUCUCCAAGGUUCAUAUUUAUCCGUGUGCUUAGCGAAGGGACUGAACUUUGGACUUCAGCCUUGCAAAGUGCAGGCCUCAUGGUCGUGAGAGAGACCGGACUGGGAGCCAUGGCCUGCCACUGGGAGUGAGCAUAAGGGCGGGUGGGGGAGGUGGAGUGGGGGUCGGGGGCUCAGGGACAGAAGCACCAGGAGCCAGGAGGCCUCUGAGAGAAGCGCCAGGGCCCACCGCUCAGGUUGUUUCCAGCCGGGCGCGGGAGAACUUUGAGGGCGGGCUUCUUUGGGCAGCUGGAGCAGCAGGAAGCUGGGCCACUGGGCCGGUUCUCAAGGACAGAGCUAGGCCGUGUUCCCUGGAGUAGGUCAGUGCACCUCAGUCCUAGCGCAACACCAGACUCCCCAGACUUGGGUCUUACCACUUCAGACUGCCGUCUUGAGGACUAUACUAUUGUGAUGUGUCCCUUCUCAUCAAUGUGAGAUCCCAACCGUGUGUGUGUGUGUGUGUGUGUGUGUGUGUGUGUGAGAGAGAGAGAGAGAGAGAGAGAGAGAGAGUGUGUGUGUAUGUGAGUGUGUGUGUGUGUGUGUGUGUGUGUGAGAGAGAGAGAGUGUGUGUAUGUGAGUGUGUGUGUGUGUGUUUAUGUGUAUAGGAGUCUCUGUGUGGUUUUAUCUGUGUGUGUGUCUGUGUCUGUGUAAGUCUGUAUGUGUCUAUGUGUGGUAUGUGUGUCUAUGUGUUUCUAUGUGCGUGUCUGUGUGUAUCUAUGUGUGUGUCUGUGUCUGUGUGAGUCUGUAUGUGUCUGUGUGUGUGCAUGUGUUUAUGUCUGUGUGUAUCUCUGUGUGUGUGUGUGUCUGUGUGAGUCUGUAUGUGUCUGUGUGUGCAUGUGUUUAUGUCUGUGUGUUUGUGUCUAUGUGUGUCUGUAUCUCUAUGUGUCUGUGUAUGUAUUAGUAUGUGUGUGUAUGUGUCAAUGUGUGUUGUAUAUCUAUGUGUGUGUCUAUGUGUCUCUGUGUGUGUCUCUCUGUGUGUGCACACACGUGUAUUGUUUUUUUCUAGACAAUCUUACUGUGUAGUUCAGGCUGACCUUGAACCUCUGAUCCUCCUGCCUAUACCUCCCAAGUGCUGGUACAGGCCUGUAGCAUAGGCAGUUUUACAAAGUGCUGGGACCAGGGCCUUAGAUAUGCCGGGCAAGUACCAAGAGCCUCAACCACAGCACCAAAUGCACCCUUUUCAUUUUUCUUGGGAUGAUUUUCUUCAGAACUACUUAAUGAAAGAGAUUCAUUUUUUUAAAAUCUUUUUUAACGUGUGUGUGUGUGUGUGUGUGUGACAGCCUGGGUGUGGAGGUCAGGGGACAACUGCAGGAGCCAGUGCUCUUCCUCCACCAUGUGGGAACUUAGCUGGUCUGACUUGGCCAGCAGCGCAUUUACCUGCUGAGCCACUUGAGGGGCUCCCUUCCCCGUUUUUAGUAUACCCCAGCCCUGCACCACACCAUCCCAUCAACUCAGAGCCAUUUUCAUCAUCCCAAAAGAAACUGCGCAUCUACAGAGAGACCUAUCUCUAGCCCAGCCUCUGGCAGCCAGGGACUACCCUCCUUUCCUCCUUCCCUCCCACCCUGGGUAUUUCAUGCAAAUGGAGUAGAGCCUUGUGACAAAGCUCACUAGUCAGAGCACAGGUCCCUUUAUCCCUUUCAUAGAGAAUGGACGCCCAUUGUUUUGAGGAGAUGUGGCUCUCCCCAUACAUCCACGGAUGGUUCCCCCCGUGUUUCAGCUGUGGCGAGCAGUGCUGCUCAGGACAUCCAUAUCCAACAGUUUAUGUGAAUGUGUCUUUUCAUCUUUUCAGUUUUUCAUCAAUUUAAAAUACUUAGCACAUGGACAAGGAGUUCUAGGCUAGCCUGCACUACAUACUACAAGUUAAUUUUUUUUUUUUAAUCCGUGAAUAAAAUAUCACACUUUUCACUAGAAACAAGCCCAUCCUUCCCUGAUUUCAUCCUAGCUGGGCUCCAGGGACUUCACCCUCAUGGUCCCCUGCAUCUUUCUCCUGGUGAGGAGAGCUGCGCGCCUGAGCCGGGCUGUUUCCAGAGCCUUCAAGGUUCUUUGGAGCUAGGGCCAAGUCCUGCAGCGCAUGGGUGGGGAGGAGGCAACAGCCAGAAAACCAGCAGCUGGUGAGCCACGCACACAUGACGGUGGUAAACCUUGUCCCCUUCCCACGAGGCCCUUCCCACAUCUGGUGCUCCACACAAGAGUCACCCACGGGCUGGAGAGAUGGCUCAGAGGUCUUAACUGGUUGUUAAGCACUAGUUGUUCUUCCAAAGGUCCUGAGUUCAAUUCCCAACAGCCACAUGGUAGCUCACAACCAUCUAUAGUGAUAUAUGGUACCCUCUUCUGGCAUGUAGGCAGAACACUGUGUAUAUAGUAAAUAAAUAAAUCUUAAAAGAAAAGAAAGAAAAAAAGUCCCCCUCAACAAUUCUACCACCAGCCAUACAUGGCUACCGAGAACUUGGAUGGUGGCUGAGGCCAUUUCUUGUUGAAAUGGUGUUACUUUUGAUGAACUGGAUUAAAAGUUUAAAGCAAAGCUAGGAGGAAGUGUUAAAAGAGCUGGAAGUAGCUUAAUGGUCACACACACACAAACACACACACACACACACACGCACAUGCACACGCACAGACGCUUGAAUGCAUGAGCCCUGAGUCCUGUCCCCAGCAAAGCAUUUAAAAACAAUUAAGUUAAAAUUUAAAAUGAUUUAAAUGAUAUUUCAUUAAAAUGAAAUUCAUGGUGCGGUGGCUCACACCUAUAAGCCCAGGACUCAGAGAGGGAGAGGCAGGCGGAUCUCUGUGUAUUCGAGGCCAGCCUGAUCUGCAAAUCGAGUCGAGGACAGCCAAGACUACACAGAGAAACCCUGUCUCGAAACAAACAAAAAAAAAAAAAAAAGAAGAAGAAGAAGAAAAUUCAUUAUUGUAAUAUAUUGCACUCACUUAUAAUUAAUUUUAAAUUAUUUUAUUGUUAACUUGUGGUGCUGGCUAGUUUUAUGUGAACCUGACACGUUAGAGUCAUUUGGAAAGAGGGAACCUCCACCAAGAAAAUGUUCCCACUGGGUUGGCCUGUGGGAAGAGCCUGUGAUGAACUUUCUUGCUUGGUGAUUGGUGUGGGAGGCCCAGCUCACGUGGGUGGUGUAACCCUGGGUAGGUGGUCUUAGAUGGUAUAAGCAGACUGAACAAGCGGAGAGGAGCAAGCCGGUGAGCGGCACCCUCCAUGGCCUCUGCAUCGGUUCCUGCUCCGGGAUCCUGUCUUGACCUCCCUCAGUGAUGGACUGUGAUCUGAGAGUAUAGCUGAAACAAACCCUUUCCUCCCAGAGGUGCCUCCUGCCAUAAUAGAAACCUUAACCAAGACACUUAUUUAUUUACUUUCUGGUUUUGUUUGUUUGUUUUUCAAUUAUUUAUUUUUUUUAAAUAUGUGUAGGGGGUGCUUGCCAUGGCACACGUAUGGAAUCAGAGGACAAUUUGGUGACCUCUGUUCUCACCUUCCACUUUCCAGGCUCCAAGCACCGAACCGAUUUAGUCAGACUUGCAGGGUUCAGUGGUAAGCACCUACCUUUACGGAUGAGCCCAGCUGGCUUAUGGCUCUGGUUUGGUUUGGUUUUGAGGCAGGGACUCAGCAGGAACCCUGGUUGUCCUGGAACUUGUUAUGUAGACCAGGCUGGCCCUAAAACUCCCAGAGCUCUGCAUGCCUCUGCUCCUGGAGUGCUGGGAUUAAAGAUGUGGUUCACUGUGCCUACCACUUUGGGAUUUGGCAUUUUUCAAUUAAUUUUAUUAUUUAUUUGUUUGUUUGAGAUAUGGUCUUUCUACAUAACUAGUUGCUUGUUUUUGUUUCAGUAAGUAGCUGAGGUUAGCCUUAGACUCAUAAUCCUCCUGCUUCAGACUCUCAAAUGAUAAUAUUAUAGACAUGUGCCACUGUGCCUGACAAUUUUUCAUUUAAAAACUUUUUAAUUAGGUGGAAGCAGGAGGAUUAUGAAUUUAAAGUAAAUUUCAACUACAUAGUGAACUUGAGCUAGGGGAGACCUUGUCUCAAAAUAAAGAAAGAAAGAAAAAAGAAAGAAAGAAAGAAAGAAAGAAAGAAAGAAAGAAAGAAAGCCAGGUGUGGUUGUACAUGCUUGUAAUUCCAGCACUUGGGAGGCAGAGGCAGACAGAUCUCUGAAUUUAAGGCCAGUCUGGUCUAUAUAAAGGGUUUCAGCACAGCCAGGGACCCUACCUCAAAGAGAGAGAGAGCCACCAAUAAAUAAAUAGAAAUAAAAAAUAAAGUUCACUCAUUUCUUUUCUCUCUCCCUGUUUAUUUUGGGUUUUAUUUCCUACCAUGUGACCAGGGGGCUCAUGCUCCUGUGGCCAUGCCUCCUUUACUUCAAUGGGCAACCCCUCCCCCCAACCAUGAGUCAGAAUAAACCCUUUCCUCCUGAGGAUCUGUUUUCAUUAAGCACAGCAAUGGGAAAAGUAACGGGCAUGGUUGUGUAGACCGGUUGUGCGUUUUCUAGAAUGUGAGCCCCAUGAGGGUGGGGUCUCCUCUGCCUUGUUCACAGAUGUAUGCCCAGAGCUCGUAUAAUGCUUGGGAAUACAGUGUUGAGCUAAACAGUAGAUGCUCAGUAAGUAUUCAUUAAAUAUAUCUCAUUACAACUAACCAUGUUUUACGGGUUUUUGUGGUGUGUGUGUGUGUAUGUGUGUUAAUGAGGUCCAAUCCAAUGCUCUAUGGUUUGAAUGUUUUCUUCAAAGUCUGGAAACCACCUGCAGUGCUCAGUGUCGGCCUCAUCAAGAACUUCUUGCCCUUAUCUCAAGAGCGGAUUAGUUGCCCAGAGUGAAUUUGCUGGGAAAGGGAACGUGCCCGCCUCCUGCCCUUCUGCCUUCCCCCAUGGAUGGUUUUGUAAGAAGCCUUCUUGGCUAGAUGCUGGACUUUCCAGCCUCUAGGAUCAUGACCGCAACUGCUUUCUGGUUGUUGUAAAUUACCCAUUCCCAUCUGUUUUUGUAGCCGUGGGUACAGAUGAAGGCGCCGUGCUUGGCUUGGCUCUGCUGCACGCUUCAUUCUUGGACUGGGUUCUCAGACACCUCUGAAUAUAGUUAUAGUUCCAUUAUAGUUCUGUUAUAGUUCCAUUCCGAAGAGAAGAAAGGAGAGGAGGAGAGGGCUUCAGUGAGGAUCAGAGUCCCUCAGAGCUGGCAUCUAAACCAAACUGCCUGGCAUGAGCGGGCAGCCCCCUGUGGGGGUGGGACCCCUGGUGCUUCGGUCUCAGGCAUUGUCCGGGUGUCCAUGCCGAUGACCAGAGAGAGGACUAUGAGCUCUCCUCGGUGGCUUCGUGCUUCUACAGCUGAGGGAUGCCUGCGUGGUGGCUGAAGCAGGGCUCAGAACUCAGCUGUAAGUGAUGGAGGUUUUGAAUCUCAAAGCCUCCAGCAAGACGGCAUGACCUAAAUCUCCUCAGCUGAUGUCACUAGCGGGAGAACCAAGUGUUCCGAAGCCUAAGGGACAUUUCUCAUUCAAACUACCAUGAAGAGUCUCACUACAUAGCCUGGCUGGCCUGGAACUUGUUAUGUAAAUCAGGCUGUCCUUGAACGUAACAGAGGUCCACCUGCCUCUGUCUCUAAGAGCUGUUAAAGGCAUGCUCUGUUUUGGGUUUUUAUUCUUUCUUUCUUUUCUAACACCUGUGAUGAUGUCCUAGCAGUAAGGUAGCCUGUUGACUCAGCAUAACUGCUCGAACCUUGGCAUUAGAUUAGAAUCUACUUCCUUCGUUUCUGGCUCUGGGGUCGUUUUUGUACACCACUCACUCAGUAUCAACAGGCCCGGAAAACUGGCCUCGGGAAAACUGGCCUCGGGAAAACUGGCCUCGGGAAGGUACCGUAGACAAAGAAUGGGAGCUGCUUCCUUGAUCAGACUGAAGGAUCUGGGAGUCGGUGGUUUGCAAGGCACCCAACAGGCGUCUCUGCCUUACCCGCUAGACCUAAGCUCAUUCUUUUGGGUCCUGGGUUGCAUGGUUUGGGAACUUUAGAACUUAAGGGCCUCCACUGACACAGAAAGAGUUUAAAAACAAAAAAAAACAAACAAAAAAAAAUAGUUGGGUGAACACACCUGGUUAGCUUUUCUUUGCCUCAGUAAGAAGGAUGCUGGCUCAGCCAAUCCCAGAGCAGUCUUGGCUUUAACUCACCCUCCUUUGCAUGUGCACCUGGCUGUGAAUGCAGGCGGCAAGAAUAAGGGUGCGCCUGUUCCCAGACGCCCGCGCCGUUUACACGACCGAAGAAGUAUUUUCUGAGUGGAGUCCGUAAGUUGUGACAACAUUUCUGCAUUGUGGUCCUUGUCGUCUGAAAGAAUACUGGGGUGUGCCUGGCCCUUGAGUAACAUCAUCAUCAUCAUCAUCAUCAUCAUCAUCAUCGUGUGUGGUGGGGUAAGCAGGUGGACAGCUCAGCUCUCUCCUUCCACCAUGUUCCUGGAUUUACAGAAGGCGUGUUGUCAGUCCCGUUAGACGUGAACUGGUGGAGAACAGGACAAUUUGGCCUUGCUUUCAUUCCUCGUAUCCAGCUCUGAUCUGGACAGAGAAGAACUUGGGGCAGCAGAACCAGAAGGUGGCAGCGCAGGUACUUUUAGGAGACAAUCUGGUUCCCACAAGUAAAAACCCAAGGACAUCUGUGAUACAAAGAUGCCAAUCAAAGUGAGCAAAAAGGUGAAACGCGGGCUGGGAACUCGAGCUGGAGAGGGCUCGCUGGGUGAGUGCUUUCUACUCAAGCGUGAUGGGGGUCCUUAGCACUCAGGCAAACCUGGGUGUGGCUUUACGAGCUGCAGGAAGGAUCCACUGGGCCAGGUCAGUUCAGAAAAUAACAAUUCAGUAUCAUCCGGUAUUGGGUAUUGGGUCUAGCUAAGCUAGCAGAAAACUCAGGGGUGGCGGUAUUCCAAAUACGGACUAAUUCCUUCCAGAAGUAGCACUGGGGCCUCCGUGAUGUCACCAUCACCCUUUUACCCUGCUGUCUUCAAGAGAUGGCCAGGCUAGAUCCCACGAGACCUGUGGGACUGCCACUUGCCCGCCGAGGGUCUGAGCUCACUCAAUUGCAUUUUCCUCCACUCUGCUAAUAUGCAUAUACUAAGCCUAAACCCGGUACAGCGGUAGGCUGUAAUCCCAGCUACCCAGGAGCCUGAGGCAUUGCAGAUUGGAGGCAAAAGUUGGGGCACUUUCCAAGGCAGCCCAUUGUCUCAAAGAGCAGUGGGGCAAAAAUGAGUGGGGACGGAGCUCUUGAAACACCUGAAGUCCAAGUUGUGAAUAGCGGGAGGUUUUUAGUUUUAACCAGAAUUCUCAGUCUUCAGGCUGAGGGCGUAGCUCGGUUGGUAGAGUGCCUGCCUAGGUUGCACAGAGCUCAGGGUUCAAGCCCCAGAAGGCUGUUAACUGGGCUUGGUGAUGCAUGCCCAUAAAGCCAGCACUCAGGAGGUGGAGGCAGGAGGAUCACCAUUUACUGACGGUCAUCUUGUGCCUGGGAAACAUGAGUUGUAAAACAAACAAACAAAAAAGAAUUCCCAGUGCUCUCUCUCUCUCAGGGCAGCCAAGCUGUGUCCUUUGGGAUUAAUUCAUUGUCCUCUCUCUGUUUGGAGGCAGGCGCUUGCUGUGUGGCCCUGGAAAUCUUCCUGUCUCAGGCUCCCAGGGCUUUGACCUGAUAACUCCCUCUCUACUUGUCUCACAGUCAGUUGCUCUUGAGCUCGGCAGUUUCCCAAGAAUCAUAAACUAAAACAAGCCCAAGCUGAGGGGUGGUCGUCACUUUUACUGUGUUACUGUGACAGAAGCAAGGCCACUCGCAGAAGAAGUACUUAACUUGGAGUGGGAGGCUCCAGAACCGAGGAUGGUGGAGCAGAGGUAGCAGACUCAGGCAGUGCAAGCAGCAGCUGAGGGCUCACAUCUCGAACCCAAGACAGGGCGCAGAGAGAGCUCACUGAGAAUGAUCGUAUUGAAACUUCAAAGCCUGUCCCCCAGGGCCACACUUCCCAAGGAGCCACCAACUGGGGACUUGUGCUCAAAGGUCCCAGACUUACGAGGGACAUCUCAGUCGAACCAUCAAGUGAGCCUGAGGAUGAGGCUCCUGGGGCCAGCUUCACGGAGAGUCAGUUCUCCUAGAGGCCACCAAAGAGCAAGCACCGGCUGCCCAUCGUUGGUGCACAGGCUCCAGUGAACCACCCACUGGCAGGAGAGUGACGUGUUAGCUGUUCUCCGAGUGGAGUUGCAUCAGCCCCACCCCCUGGAGCUUGUUAAACAAGCAAAUCCUCCAGCCUCAGCUCAAGCCUGCCUGAUCAGAAACCCUGGGGGUUGCCCAGCAGGGUGGGGAAAAGCCCGCCAGGGGUUCUUGGGGUGAGUUUCUGGGGGAAACAACCACCUUACAAAGGUCCAUGGUUUCCUCUGUUUUGCUUUUGGCUUUUAAUUUAAACAAAUAUUUAGGGUAGUUUUUGAGAGAGAGGGUAUGCAUAGGAGUCAGAGAACAGCCUGUGGGAAUAGGCUCCCCCCCCCCCCCCCCCCGUCCACCAGGUGGUGCCUGAGGAUCAAACCCAGGGCUUCAUGCUUGACAGCAAGCGCCUUUACCCACGGAGCUGUCUCUCCAGCCCUCAUUGGUUGGUUGGUUUGAGACCAGGCUGUCCAAGCAAGCACGAUAGCUACCUCCCUGGGGUUGGGAUGACAAGUGUGUGCCGCCACGCCCGGUGAUAGGCAGUUUGCCUCGAAGCCAUCUUUGAUUGCAGGUGGGAUUACAUUCCGUGUUGGGUAGGAAGGAAAUGGGCCCAGAAAAGCUAAGGCUGCCUUGUCACGGGUCCUCGGGGUUGCGUUUCUGCCCUGUGUCCCCAGACAGCCAACCCCUCCCCGAGUGACCCACUCAUGCUGAGCCAGGAGGAGCAUGGCUGCCAUGGAGAUCAUUUCCGAGAGGAAAUUUAAAAGCAACUAAAAAUUUAGGCGAGCAGGAUGGCUCAGAGGAUGAAGGCAAUUGCCGACAAGCCCGAUGACCUAAGUUUGACCCCUGGGACCCUGAGGGCUGGAGGGUAAAACCAACUGUGAAUGUGUGAGCUCCCCCCACACACCUGUGUACACUCCUAAAUAACGGUAAAACUAACUUAAAAAAAAAAAAGAAAACAAGUAAAAACCAGGUUUGUGUUUUAUUAUUGUCAUGCUAUACAAACUCUAAACUGUAUCACUGAUAAAAUUCUCUAUGCCUCCCAGGUGCAGUGGCACACGCCUGUGAGCCCAGCACUCAGGGAGGCAGAGGCAGGCGGAUCUCUGUGAGUUCAAGGCCAGCCUGGUCUACAAAGUGAGUCCAGGAGCCAAGGCUACACAGAGAAACCCUGUCUCAAACAAACAAACAAAAUCUCUGCCUGCUUGGUGCCCUUAAAAAAAAAAACAUCUUCUUAUUCAUGCGCAUGAACCUGUGUUUCUCUGAGAGUACAGGCGUAUGUGGGUGCCUGAGGGUGCCGGAAGAGUUUAUCAGAUCGCCUGGAGCUGGACUCAGAGGCCGUUGUUAACGGUCACCUGAUAUGGAUGCAGAGAACUGACCUCCAGCUCUCUGAAAAUCAGGCCCUGUCGGCCACGCCUGCUCUGUUUAUCUUUUAGUCCUCAUGGAAGCUGAUGUAAGGAAUUCCCUGGAGGGCUGCUCCCCUGUCCCAGGUGGAAUCAAUUAUACACAAUUGUCUCAAGGCAGGUUACGAUAUUACAGAAUUGCUGGGCACAGGGUAGGAGUCGGGUUCCCGUAUAGAUAUGCCUGCAUUGAAACUACAGAUUGCUCUGUGGCUGAUAGGUUGCUCUUCCGCCACGUCUGAGUCUUGGGCCCAUGACUGUGGAUUUGAUCACGGGUGAAGAAUGAAUGUUUUAAGGUUUGUGCUGAGUGUGGGUAGAAUUCCCUUGUCAUCCUACUGUAAGCACCAUAGCAGAAGAGCGGCUUAGACUGUGUUUACAGUGACUACGAGCGUGGAGGGAGUCGGGCCUGCUGCGUGCUGCCAGCCUAUAAUGUCAGCCACUUAGAAAGCUGAGGCAAGAGGGCCCCAGGCUGGAGGACUGCGUGUCGGCCGGGUUGCAGAGUGAGUUCAAAGCCAGCUUGGACAGCUUAGUGAAAGCCUGUGACAACAAUCAAAGGUUUGUCUUUAAGCUGGUGGUGUAUCUCAGUGGAAGAAUGCUUGUAUAGGAUGUCUGAGGCCCUGGACCCGAGUAAGAAAGGGGGUGGGGGAGGGAGGAAAGAAGAGGAUGAUGCCAUGUGGACCAGCCUCUUAGGUUGGUAUCUAAGGGGUGACCUGUAUCCAGUCCCCAGAGACGCAAAGGGAUGGCUGUAUAGAGGCCACAAAGACAAAGAAAAGAACUUAGCCGAUUUCAGACCCUCCUCUCUCCAUGGCCAUUUAGGGUUUUCAUUUGUGCUUAAGACGUGAAACGGGGCUGGAGAGAGGGUGACUCAGUGACUGAAAGCACAUGCUGCUCCUGCCGAGUUCAAUUCCCAGCACCCAUCGGUGGGUCACAGGUGUGACCCCAGCUCAGAGACUCUUGACACCUAUGGCAACUGUGUGUACAUACACAUAAUUAAAAUGAUAGAAUAUUUAAAAUGUAAAGCAGGAAAGAUCUAAGAGAGUUUAACCCACCAAUGUUUGAGAUGUGAUGGAGUUGAAAAAAAAAUACUCAAGAUUAAUUUUUUUCUUUCUGUUUUUUUUCUGUUUUUGAGACAGGGUUUCUCUGUGUAGUCCUGGCUGUCUUGUAACUCACUCUGUAAACCAGGCUGGCCUUGAAAUCAUAAAGAUCCACCUGCCUCUACUCAAAGAGCUGGGAUUAAAGGCCUCCAUGGCUACCAGGGAAUUGUUUUUUGAUCACUCCAGUUGUAAUUCCCAAAUCAUCCUGUGGAGAGACAGCGGCCAUCUCUGUUGAAGUUCAUCAGAUCACACGUCGGAAGGGCACACCCUGUGCCGUUGGUCCAUCAUACCUCCACAAAGCAGUUUGCAUUUUAUUUACUUUUAUUAUUAUUAUUGUGGUGGUGGUGGUUUCUCUGUGUAGUUCUGGCUGUCCUGGAACUGUGUAGACCGGGCUGGCCUCAAGCUCACCUCGAUCUACCUUACUCUGGCUCCCGAGUGCUGGAAUCAAAGGCAUGCCCCUGUCAUCAUCAUCAUCAUCACUGAUGUGUGUGUGCUUGUGUGUGUGUGUGUGCUGUGAAUAUGUAUCCCACGGUUACAGAUGCACUCAAGCACAUAUGUGGAGUUGUGGAAGUCAGAGAACAAUCUGCAGGAGUCAGUUCCUGCCUCCAGAGAGCAGGGAUGAAACUCAGGUUACAAGGCUUGGGUAGCGAUCGUGUUUGCCCACUGAGGCGUCUCGCCAGCCCUAGAGCUUUUACAAAUGUCUCUCUGGGGCUAACGCUGUGGCUCAGCAGGUAGGGUGCAUGCCUAGGAAGCCUGAAACCCGGGCUUUGAUUUGAAACACUGAAUAAGGCCGGGCAUGGUGGCUCUCGCCCUAAUCCCAGCACCCGGAAGGUGGAGGCAGGAGAAUCAAGAAUGCUAGGUCAUCCUCGGCUACAGGGUGAAUUUGAGGCCAGCCGGAGAUAAGAGAAACUGCAUGUUUUUAAAAACUGGUGCUCGCUCUUGGUGAUAGGGGAGGGCGUGGCUCAGUGGCAGAGCACCACUCAAGCUUGCACAAGGCUCUUGGUUUCAUGCCACCGAAAAAAAUAAAAAGAAACUACUCAGCCUAGCACUUUCCAAGAGGCUUGGAAAAGAUUUUAAUUACCUCCAAUCACAUUUUUUUCCUCUGCCAAGUAAGUCACCACACAGAGACCGGGCAGUGAGAAGCCUUGGUUAUAUUUGGCUUGCAUAUAUUAUGCAUAGAGCUUGGUGUCUGUCGCAAUAAAUAGCCCGGCUGGGAUGAUUAAGGUGGCCCCUGCAGAUGCCAUCUGACAGGCAGAGAGGACUCUACAGUAGAAGAGGAAGCUCAGGCGCGUGAGGGGCAGUUGAAGUAAAGCAAAGAGAGAGAAGCUUCGAGUCUCUCGGAGACUUCCGGCAGAAAGGGAUUUAUCUUCAGUCAAAAUGCAGGUAGCAGUCACAUGGUAAACUGUGUGCAGCAGCGGGCAGGGACUGGGCAGGUCCCCGGGGUCACAGCAGCAGCCCAUGACUGCAUGUUCACGGGGUCCUCCACAGCCCUGGCGGUGACAACAGCUACUUUUGCAAAAUGCUUUUCGUUGGUUGGUGCUCCCGUUUCUCUGUGUUCUGGGUAAAAGCUGGUUCAUUUUCCAGGCGACAGCAUUGAGGCUCAUGGCUGGCCCGCUUGCCUUAGGCGGUGGGUUAAAGGCGUGCACCUCCACGCCCAGCGCACCUCCCAAGCUUACCUCUCCCUUUAUUUAUUUUAUUUUAUUUUUUAUUUUACUUAUUUAUUUUAUUUUUAAUAAAUUAUAGUUUAUUCCCA